This 357-nucleotide ribosomal RNA is filed under the name uncultured bacterium. RNAcentral's name for it is "bacterial SSU rRNA". It matches the Rfam family "Bacterial small subunit ribosomal RNA", at positions 69 to 422 of the family's 1533-position model. The record is from RNAcentral.
UGCUUUUGUAGCAAUACGAGAGUAUCCUAGUGGCGAACGGGUGAGUAACGCGUUGGUGACCUACCCCAAAGUGUGGGAUAACAGUCCGAAAGGAUUGCUAAUACCGCAUGUGGUCAUUGGAUUUAGAAACUGAUGACUAAAGGAGCAAUUCGCUUUGGGAGGGACCUGCGUCCCAUCAGCUAGUUGGUGAGGUAACGGCUCACCAAGGCGACGACGGGUAGGGGACCUGAGAGGGUGACCCCCCACAAUGGAACUGAAACACGGUCCAUACACCUACGGGUGGCAGCAGUAGGGAAUAUUGCACAAUGGGCGAAAGCCUGAUGCAGCAACGCCGCGUGUGUGAUGAAGGCCUUCGGG